This 484-nucleotide ribosomal RNA is filed under the name uncultured bacterium. RNAcentral's name for it is "partial 16S ribosomal RNA". It matches the Rfam family "Bacterial small subunit ribosomal RNA", at positions 30 to 507 of the family's 1533-position model. The record is from RNAcentral.
AUUGAACGCUGGCGGCAGGCCUAACACAUGCAAGUCGAGCGGAUGAAGGGAGCUUGCUCCUGGAUUCAGCGGCGGACGGGUGAGUAAUGCCUAGGAAUCUGCCUGGUAGUGGGGGAUAACGUCCGGAAACGGGCGCUAAUACCGCAUACGUCCUGAGGGAGAAAGUGGGGGAUCUUCGGACCUCACGCUAUCAGAUGAGCCUAGGUCGGAUUAGCUAGUUGGUGGGGUAAAGGCCUACCAAGGCGACGAUCCGUAACUGGUCUGAGAGGAUGAUCAGUCACACUGGAACUGAGACACGGUCCAGACUCCUACGGGAGGCAGCAGUGGGGAAUAUUGGACAGUGGGCGAGAGCCUGAUCCAGCCAUGCCGCGUGUGUGAAGGUGGUCUUCGGAUUGUAAAGCACUUUAAGUUGGGAGAAAGGGCAGUAAGUUAAUACCUUGCUGUUUUGACGUUACCAACAGAAUAAGCACCGGCUAACUUCGUG